This 486-nucleotide ribosomal RNA is filed under the name uncultured bacterium. Its description in RNAcentral is "partial 16S ribosomal RNA". It matches the Rfam family "Bacterial small subunit ribosomal RNA", at positions 29 to 507 of the family's 1533-position model. The record is from RNAcentral.
AUUGAACGCUGGCGGCAUGCCUUACACAUGCAAGUCGAACGGCAGCACGGGUGCUUGCACCUGGUGGCGAGUGGCGAACGGGUGAGUAAUACAUCGGAACAUGUCCUGUAGUGGGGGAUAGCCCGGCGAAAGCCGGAUUAAUACCGCAUACGAUCUACGGAUGAAAGCGGGGGACCUUCGGGCCUCGCGCUAUAGGGUUGGCCGAUGGCUGAUUAGCUCGUUGGUGGGGUAAAGGCCUACCAAGGCGAAGCUCAGUCGCCGGUCUGAGAGGAGGGCCAGCCACACUGGGACUGAGACACGGGCCAGAAUCCCACGGGGGGGAGCAGGGGGGAAUUUUUGGAAAAGGGGGAAAGCCUGACGCAACAAAGCCGCGUGAGUGAAAAAGGGCUUUGGGGUGUAAAACACUUUUUUUCGGGAAAAAAAUCUGUGGCCCUAAUCGGGCCGGGGGUGACGGGACCCAGAAAAAAAGGCACGGCUUAACACGUG